RNAcentral lists this ribosomal RNA (765 nucleotides) under uncultured Streptococcus sp. Its description in RNAcentral is "bacterial SSU rRNA". It matches the Rfam family "Bacterial small subunit ribosomal RNA", at positions 28 to 776 of the family's 1533-position model. The record is from RNAcentral. Lineage: Bacteria; Bacillati; Bacillota; Bacilli; Lactobacillales; Streptococcaceae.
GACGAACGCUGGCGGCGUGCCUAAUACAUGCAAGUAGAACGCUGAAGAGAGGAGCUUGCUCUUCUUGAAUGAGUUGCGAACGGGUGAGUAACGCGUAGGUAACCUGCCUUGUAGCGGGGGAUAACUAUUGGAAACGAUAGCUAAUACCGCAUGACAAUGGGUGACACAUGUCAUUUAUUUGAAAGGGGCAAUUGCUCCACUACAAGAUGGACCUGCGUUGUAUUAGCUAGUAGGUGAGGUAACGGCUCACCUAGGCGACGAUACAUAGCCGACCUGAGAGGGUGAUCGGCCACACUGGGACUGAGACACGGCCCAGACUCCUACGGGAGGCAGCAGUAGGGAAUCUUCGGCAAUGGGGGCAACCCUGACCGAGCAACGCCGCGUGAGUGAAGAAGGUUUUCGGAUCGUAAAGCUCUGUUGUAAGUCAAGAACGAGUGUGAGAGUGGAAAGUUCACACUGUGACGGUAGCUUACCAGAAAGGGACGGCUAACUACGUGCCAGCAGCCGCGGUAAUACGUAGGUCCCGAGCGUUGUCCGGAUUUAUUGGGCGUAAAGCGAGCGCAGGCGGUUUGAUAAGUCUGAAGUUAAAGGCUGUGGCUCAACCAUAGUUCGCUUUGGAAACUGUCAAACUUGAGUGCAGAAGGGGAGAGUGGAAUUCCAUGUGUAGCGGUGAAAUGCGUAGAUAUAUGGAGGAACACCGGUGGCGAAAGCGGCUCUCUGGUCUGUAACUGACGCUGAGGCUCGAAAGCGUGGGGAGCGAACAUG